RNAcentral lists this unclassified non-coding RNA (237 nucleotides) under plant metagenome. RNAcentral describes it as "partial contains small subunit ribosomal RNA and internal transcribed spacer 1". The stretch from base 1 to 46 matches the Rfam family "Eukaryotic small subunit ribosomal RNA", at positions 1786 to 1831 of the family's 1831-position model. The record is from RNAcentral.
AAGUCGUAACAAGGUUUCCGUAGGUGAACCUGCGGAAGGAUCAUUAAAUAUCGGCAGUUUACUGUCGUUUGAGGGGAGUGGAAAUUGUUCGGGCUUGCCUGUUCAGGAGUACACUUCUUUUCUUAACCCUUGCCUUUUUGCGCACUUGUGUUUCCUCGGCAGGCUUGCCUGCCGGUUGGACAAACCAAUAACCUUUUUAAUUUUCAAUCAGCGUCUGAAUUAUUUUAAUAAUUACAA